RNAcentral lists this ribosomal RNA (230 nucleotides) under uncultured bacterium. RNAcentral describes it as "partial 16S ribosomal RNA". It matches the Rfam family "Bacterial small subunit ribosomal RNA", at positions 57 to 305 of the family's 1533-position model. The record is from RNAcentral.
GCAAGUCGAGGGAGAAACUAUCUUCGGAUAGCGGAGACCGGCAGACGGGUGAGUAACACGUGGGAACAUACCUUGUACUGGGGGAUAACAGUUGGAAACGACUGCUAAUACCGCAUACGCCCUUCGGGGGAAAGAUGUAUCGGUAUAAGAUUGGCCCGCGUUAGAUUAGCUAGUGGGUAAGGUAACGGCUUACCAAGGCGACGAUCUAUAGCUGGUUUGAGAGGAGGAGC